RNAcentral lists this ribosomal RNA (162 nucleotides) under Lobelia sessilifolia. RNAcentral's name for it is "5.8S ribosomal RNA". It matches the Rfam family "5.8S ribosomal RNA". Rfam says of the family: 5.8S ribosomal RNA (5.8S rRNA) is a component of the large subunit of the eukaryotic ribosome. It is transcribed by RNA polymerase I as part of the 45S precursor that also contains 18S and 28S rRNA. Lineage: Eukaryota; Viridiplantae; Streptophyta; Magnoliopsida; Asterales; Campanulaceae. The record is from RNAcentral.
CGAUUCUUGAAAACGGAUAUCUCAGCUCUCGCAUCGAUGAAGAAUGUAGCUAAAUGUGAUACUUUGUGUGAAUUACAAAUUCUCACAAACCAUCGAGUCUUUGAACGUAAGUUGCGCUCGAAGCCAUCAGGCCGAAGGCACGUCUACCUAGGUAUCAUGCAU